CCUACUCCUGCAUCUAUUGUCUAUUGAAAGACUGAGGCAAUGGGGAAAUCAGGAGAAUAAGGGGGCAGUGCAGUAUAGUAUUGUUAAUGUUAAGCAGGGAGGAUUAGAGCUGACACUUCGUGGCACAAAACAGUUUAAGUGAUAAAAGUCAAAGAGAAAAACUUUUUAUGAGGGUAGGUUGAGCAAGCUAGGGCUUUUCAUUUGGAAUGAAGGUAAUAAGAGGCAUAAAUUGAGUGGGCAGCCAGGGACUUUUUCCCAGGGUGGAAGUCGUGGGCAUAACUUUAAGGUGAUUGGAUGAAAAUAUAGCGAGCACAUCGGAGGCUUUUCCGCUCUGUGCCCUGUGCCACUUUGGGUGACAACCUUAUCAUUUUUGUCUGUUUUUUAUUUUUACAAGGCUGAGUUGCUAGCUCGACGCUCAACCCGGCACAUGGCGGAAAGCGAGCAAGGUGCCGGCCAUAUUUGAACCCGGGACCACUCGCCUGGUAGUCUGGUGCUGACGCCUCUAUGCCAACGGCUGGCUGAACGUCACAGGCAAGUUUUUUCCAUACACAGAGUGGUGAUUUGAGUCGAACGUGCCGCCAGGGGUGGUGGUAGAGGCAGAUAGAGUAGGUGCAUUAAAUAAACUCUUAGAUAGGCACAUGGAUGAUAGGUUAUAUGGAAAGGAAGAGUUGUAUUUGAUCUUAAGGUAGGCACAACAUCCUGGGCAGAAGGACCUGUACUGUACAAUGUUCUAUGUACAUUCAUUACAAGAUAGGAGAACUGAUUGUGCAAGCAGACAUGGAAGAGCACGCCCUGACAGCCGGUACAGAGAGACAGCAGCAAGGUGACCACAAGGUACACUGCAGGUGCUGUGGUCAAAUCAAGACGUACAAAAAAGCUGGAUGAACUCAGCAGGUCGGGCAGCAUCCAUUGAAAGGAGCAGUCAACGUUUCGGGCCGAGACCCUUUGUCAGGACUGAAGGGGGGGGCAGGGGCCCUAAAAAAGAAGGUGAAAACCAAUCAGAGGAAAGAUCAAGGGGUGGGGAAGGGGAUAGGCCAGAAAGAUGAAGAAGGAAUGUAAGGGGAAAGCACUAUGGGUAGUAGAAGAAGGCAGAGUCAUGAGAGGUGAUAGGCAGUGAAAAGAGGAGACAGAGUGAAGGUGGGAUGGGGGAAGGGAGAGGGAGGGAAUUACUGGAAGUUGGAGAAUUCGAUGUUCAUACCAUCAGUCUGGAGACUACCCAGACGGUAUAUGAGGUGUUGCUCCUCCAACCUGGGUUUGGCCUCAUCAUGGCAGUAGAGGAGGCCAUGUAGGGACAUAUCUAGAUGGGAAUGAGAGGCAGAGUUGAAGUGGGUGGCAACCGGGAGGUCCUGUCUAUUGUGAUGGACGGAGCGGAGGUACUCAACGAAACGGUCCCCCAAUCUACGUCGGGUCUCGCCGAUGCGGAGGAGGCUGCACCAGGAUGCAAUAGAUGACCCCAACAGACUCACAAGUGAAGUGUUGCUUCACCUGGAAGGACUGUUUGGGGCCCUGAAUGGUGGUAAGAGAGGAGGUGUGGGGACAAGGUGACCACAAUGGAAACCGAGUGCUCUGGGGAAUAUCUCAGGAGGAUAUGCAGAAUGGAAAGGUGCAAUAUCUUGAUUCAAACCAAAUGCUUGAUUACAAGGGAUGACAUUAGGAAGGCUGUGGCAAGUGAUUCUGGUUUAGAAAGCACAGCUUGCUCAAGAGGAGAUAAGGAACAACAAAUGGAAGCCAGUUAAUAACCAGUGUUGCAGAGUGCAGACACGUGCAAAGGUGAUGCAAUUACUUUUGUAAGGGGAAUUUCUUGGCUGUGGAGAGUCAAAUAAAGAUUUUAUUAUUCCCGAAAACAGCAUACCACUGAGGGGGAAAGGAAUCCCACAGGGAAGUUACAGCAGCAUUAAGAGAAGGCCAGAUUUCUUAAAAUUCCUCAGUCAGCACAAGAAUGACUUAAGUGGAAGUGGAUCUGUCAAUGAUUAACUAGAAUGGUUAUUUUCCUGUAGCUUCUUGUGACAUAGAAGGAACCCAUUCCAAUUGUUGAGUCUGUGCCAGCUCUCACUGCGAUUCCAACAAUCCAAUCAUUCCUAGUCUCAAUUUGGGGUGGUAUAAGAUUGCGAAAAGAAACAGACGCCAUGGUACGACGUAGACAGUUUACUCCCCUCCAGAGAUGCUGCGUGUCUCUCAAAGCUGCGUGUCUCUGUCGUGAGAGGUGGAAACGGGCAAGGCCGGCCGCCAGGGCUCUGGCAAAGUCAGUUCCCUGCCCAGUGGUUGCCCAAGUGUUGAUGGACUCCGGCCAUACCGUCAACUUCAGAGGACUUUGAAGACGGGAGGACAUCAAAGGUCUACGCUCCAUGGUGGGGGGGGGGGGGGGGGUAUGGACCAAGUAAGUCGUGUAGAUGAUGCAUCCUCCAGCAUUUAUGUGUGUUGCUAUGUUAUGGUGAUGGGACUGAGCAUCGGGAGAAUUUUGGAAAUCAGCAAAAAUAUUGCUGAAGAUUGUGGGGAAACAGAAGGAUUAUAAAAAUAGAUACUUCUAUCAUUUUUACAAUCCUCAUUAACUGUUUUAGUUAGAGAUUGAUAGAUCCAUGUACCUGUGGAGUCUUGAUAUAUAUUUUAACAAGGAAAAUAACGUCUUUAUAAUCAGUCACUGCUUUAUAUUGUGACCUAAUUUCACAAGGCACAUUAGGGCGCCAAUCAGGGUCAUGUGAAGCCACGGGAGCAGGCGGAGGAUGGUCGUAUGAGCAGCUGGUGCAGAUCACAAGUACUGAUGACAUCUUCAAUUCCUGUUCGUUGAUAGUUUGCCUGAAUUGUUCGUGUGCGUUCUCAAUUCGCUGAGUAGUCUGCUUGAGCGUCUGAAAUUGAAAAUCCAGAUUCUUCAGGGAUUCUUGGACAUUAAAAGUGGAUUUUUCGAGCUUCCCAUGCCGUCUGACCUGCUGAGCCUUUACUCCUUGGGACAGCAUUGGCGGCUCUUUAUUCUGGCAGGGGGCAAACACAAUAAUGAGGCAGCCACACCACGCACGUCCAGGGCUGCCACUGCAUGGUCAAUGAAAGAUCAACCAGAGUGCAGAAGACAACAAACAGUGCAAAUGUAGAAUUAAAUAAAUAGAAAUAAAUAAUGAGAUAAAGAGUCCUUAAAGUGAGAUCACUGGUUGUGGUAAAAAUCUCAGUGGAUGGGCAAGUGAGUGUAGUUGUCCACCCUGAUGGUUGAGGGGUAGUAACUGUUGUUGAACCUGGUGGUGAGAGACCUGAGGCUCCUGUAGCUUCUUCCUGAUGGCAGCAGCAAGAAAAGAGCACGGCCUGGGUGGGGAGGAUCUCUGAUGAUGGAUGCUGCUUUCUUACAACAGCAUUUCAUGUAGAUGUGCUCUAUGGUUGGGAGGACGUUACCCGCGAGGUACUGCACCGAAUCCACUACUUUUUGUAGGAUUUUCCAUUCAAAGGCAUUGGUGAUUCCAUAUCAGGCCAUGAUGCAGCCAAUCAAUAAAUACACUCUCCACUACACAUCUAUAGAAGUUUGUCGAUGUCAUACUAAAUCUCUGCAAACUCCUAAGGAUAUAGAGGUGCCGUUGUACUUUCUUCGCAAUUGCAUUUACGUGCUGGUUAGUGUGCCGGUACAGCAAGUAGGAAAGCAAACAAAUGUAUUGUCUUUGUCAUUAAAAAAAGGCUUCAGGCUUCCUACAUUUGUACACAGUGACGGAUUAAUGACGACAUACAGUCUCAGCUUCCGUACCCAUGGAUGUACUUGCAUUGGGUAAAAAGGACCAUUCGAUGGAUUUCCAAGUUGCAGGAGUCGGCUUAUGAAGAACGAUUGACCAGACUGGACCCAAACUGGUUUGGAAAUUAGAAUAAGACGUGGUCUUAUUGAAACAGUUAAGACCAAGGAAACCAAGGAGACAUAGGAGACUACAGAUGCUGGGAAUGUGGUUCAAAGGACAAACAGCCAGAGAAGCUCGGUGGGUCCGGCAGCAUCUAUGGAGAGAAAUGCCAGACGAUGACGACUUGACAAGCUGUGUCUGUUUGUUGAGGACUUCAGGAUUAUGAAGCGUUAUUUUGGAAUAAGAUAGCACCGAUUUAAGACAGAGAUGCAGAAUAAUUUCUUCCAUCGGGGGGGGGGCCUCAAAUUCUCCACUGCAGAGGAUUGUGGAGGCUGGGUCAUUGAAUGGAUUCAGGAUGCAGUGAGCAUUUUCUUGGACUACAAGGAAGUUCAAGUUUAAUUGUCAUGUUCAACCAUACUGCCAAAUGAAACGGUGUUCCUCUGUGGCCAAGGUGCAAAACACAGGACCAACAGUCACUCAUAGCACAUACAAUUAUGACAGCAGAAAAAUAUACAGUAAAUAUAUUUCUUUAAAAUAGCCCAAGUCUCUGAAUAUCACGGCCUGUAGAUUUAUGGUGCAUUCAUGUUGCCCUGGAAACACAUUUCUGCAAGAACAAGCAGCAGAAGUUCCUUGUUUUGUGCAUGUGCUUGUCUUCCACAGAGUGACCACUGGAGGGCAGCACCAACCGCGUGGGAUCCAGCAGCACACAGCCAGCCCUGGCGGUCUCCUUCGCCUGCGACCCCGGGGAUCGGGGCCUUGUCUGCAUAACAACCGAGGGAACACGGCUUUCCCUCCGUUGGUGAACACCAAUGACCCUGUACAUCGGACUCUCAGUAUUCUACAUUACCAAUCUCCACAGUGAUCACAAUAAAAACAUCCAAGUCGAUCAUUCCCACCGUUUGUUGGACCGCACGCUGCCUGGGUGGCUGCAGCAGGUUGCAACAUGUCCAGUUCCAUUGCUAUCCCGCGACUCGCUAGUGAAGUAGACGGGCCGUACUUGAUGUGCUUAAUAACCAGCAGCGUCUUGUAAAGAAGACAAAGGACGGACAGCUGAAAGCUCUGAGGAACAGGCCGGAAAGUGGAGCUGAGCCCUAAUUUGGAUCAGUCACUGAGUGCUGGAGCAGGCCUGAAGUCUUCGGUCUGUGGGAGGAAACCAGAGCACUCGGAGGAAACUCACGUGGUGACGAGGAGAACGUACAAACUCAUUGCAGGCAGCAGCAGGAAUUGAAUUCAGGUCACUGGUACUGUAAAGCGUUGUGCUAACCACUACAAUACUGCGUUUCUGUGGAUUGUAAAUGUCUUGCCGAUGAUAACAGUUAGAUGUCAAAAGUAGUUAAGAUUCUCUCUUGUUGGAGAUGCUCACUGACUGAUCCCCUAAAGGACUUGAAGAUUACUUCUUACUUACUAUUCCACACCCCCGUUUGGCUACAUUUUGUUCCUUCCAAGCGUGAACUGCUUUGUUCAAAGAUUCAGAGUACACUUAUUAUCAAAGUAUAUAACCCCCAAAACUCGUCUUCCCCACAGUCACGAAACAACGAACCGUGGAACCAACCUGCCUAAAGAAAAGCAUCAAGUCCUCCUCCUCCCCCCUACGCAAACAGCAACCAAAAAAAAAAUAGUGGAAACACGGAAUUUCAAAACACAAUCUCAGAAGGCUUAUUUCGGUACAGUUCAGCUCAGUGUUCAUUAUCUGCAGGCCGACCGGAUUUAAAAUACAGUCGCUCAGAAGCAGUAACAAGAAAGAGCAACCACAACUAGAACACGGCAUAAACCUGAUCCCGUCUAGUCAAUCCUCUCCAGCUUCUCCAGGCACUUUCUUUUUAAAAAACCCUGAUUGUUUCAAAAUGCUUCCCUAUCGUGAAUUAAGCAGACUUUAAUAUCCAACAUAUCCUUGUACCCUUUUUGAACCUUUUGGCAACUGCCUGGUCCUCUGGGAUCUCCACUCUACAAUGGGAGGAUGGCCAAGCUCUUUAGAAGUCUCUACCUUUCCUCAGCCACCCAAGACACAACCCACUCCGGCCAGAUUAUUUACCCAAAGCAAACUCUUCUAAUAAUUCUUCCUCGUCUAGUUUUACAUUAUCCAUCAUCUCCAGCUUUGCCCAGAGGUUAGUUGUAUCGGCUUCCUCGGAAAGCACUGGUAGAAGUGUUUAUCCACUGACAGGAAGGAUGCAGUCGUGUGGGAAAGAGUGCAGAGGAGGUUCUCCAGGAAGUUUCCCGGAUUCGGGGAAUUUAGUUAGGGGGAGAGGUUGGAGAUGCUGAGCUUGUUCUGUCUGGAGCGAAGGAGGCUGAUAGAAGUUCAGAGGACUGAGAGAAAUCGAUAGGGUAAACACGAGUGAAUCUGCAAAUGCUGGAAAUAAAUAAAAACACAUAAUGCUGGCAGAACUCAACAGGCCAGACAGCAUCUAUGGGAGGAGGUAGUGACGACAUUUCGGCCCGAAACGUCGUCACUGCAGGCAGCUGUGUUUCGUAGGCACCACUAUGUUUUGUAGGAUUUUGUAGCCAGACAGUGGUGUAUCUGUGGAAUUCAUUGCCACAGGUUGCUGUGAAGGCAGAUUAUUGGGUAUAUAUAAGGCAGAGCAUCUUGAUUCACCAGAAUGGGCAGAAGGCAGAAGAUUGAGGCUGAGGAAAAUUGGAUCAGCCAUGAUGAAUUGUUGCAGCAGCCUCUAUGAGCCAAAUGGCCCAAUUCUGUUCCUAUAUCUCAUGGUCUUAAAUAGACCAGACAGCUUCAAGUUGCUGGGUGUCAACAUCUCAGAGGAUCUAGCCUGGGCCUAACACAUUGACGCAAUCACGAAUAAGGCAUGCCAAAGGCUAUACUUCAUUUGGAUUUUGAGGAGACUUGGUACAUCACUAAAGACUCUACACCAUCUCUACGGAUGUACGGUGAGAGCAUUCUUUUGGUUCCGACGCUGCCUGCUGUAGAGGUUACUAUUCACAGGAUCGAAAGUGGAAGCACAGGGCUUGUAGACUCUGCCAGCUUCCAUCACAGGCACAAGUCUCCCCACCAUCAAAGACAUCUACAAAGGAUGCAACAUCAAGAACAUGCAACAUCCAUCACUAAGGAGGCAUGGCAGUGGCUAUACAUCUUUAAGAUUUUGGGGAAAUUUGAUAAGUCACUAAAUAGUCUACAAAAUCUCUAUAGAUGCAUGGUGCUUGUAUCACUGCUCGCUAUGGAAGCUCCUAUGCAUGGGAUCAAAGAGGAAACCGAAGCACGAGGAAGGAACUCACGUAGUCACGGGGAGGACAUACAAAACUCCUUACAGGCAGCGGCAGGUACUGCAGAGUGUUGUGCUGACCACCACGCUACCUUGCCGCCCUAUCUGUACACGCUUCGUACAGGGGCGGCAUAGUGGCUUAGCGGUAUGCGCAACACUAAUACAGUUGCAGCGAUUUCCGUUCAAUUCCCACAGCUGUCUGUAAGGAGCCUGUACAUUCUUAUUUCCUCCGGGUGCUCUGCUUUCCUCCCACAUUCCAAAGAUGUCCAGUUAGGGUUGGUAAGCUGUGAACACGUGGAGGGGCCGGUAGUGCUGAGGAAACAAGAGAGUCUGCAGAGAGACUUGGAUAGAUUGGGGGAAUGGACAAAGAAGUGACAAAUGAAUUACUAUGUCAGAAAGUGUACGGUCAUGCACUUUGGUAGAAGAAAUAAACAGGCAGACUAUUAUUUAAAUGGGGAGAGAAUUCAAAGUUCUGAGAUGCAACAGGACUUGGGAGUUCUCGUGCAGGAUACCCUUAAGGUUAACCUCCAGGUUGAGUCGGUGGUGAAGAAGGUGAAUGCAAUGUUGGCAUUCAUUUCUAGAGGAAUAGAGUAUAGGAGCAGGGAUGUGAUGUUGAGGCUCUAUAAGGCAAUGGUAAGACCUCACUUGGAAUACUGUGUGCAGUUUUGGGCUCCUUUUUUAAGAAAGGAUGUGCUGACGUUGGAGAGGGUUCAGAGAAGAUUCACUAGAAUGAUUCUGGGAAUGAGAGGGUUAACAUAUGAGGAACGUUUGACCGCUCUUGGACUGUACUCCUUGGAGUUUAGAAGAAUGAGGGGGGACCUCAUAGAAACAUUUUGAAUGUUAAAAGGCAUGGACAGAGUGGAUGUGGCAAACACGAGGAAAUCUGCAGAUGCUGGAAAUUCAAACAACAACACACACAAAAUGCUGAUGAAGCACAGCAGGCCAGGCAGCAUAAUAAAGAGAAGUACAGUCGAUGUUUCGGGCCGAGACCCUUCAUCAGGACUUCUGACUUCAGUCUAGUACGAGAGGACAUGACUUAAGGAUUGCAGAGCGCCCAUUCAGAACAGAGAUGCGAAAAAUAUUUUUUAGCCAGAGGGUGGUGAAUCUAUGGAAUUUGUUGCCACGGGUGGCUGUUGAGGCCACGUCACUGGGUGUAUUUAAGAGAUUGAUAGGUAUCUGAGUAGUCGGGGCAUCAAAGGUUAUGGUGAGAAGGCGGGGGAAUGGGACUAAAGGGGAGAUUGGAUCAGCUCAUGAUGAAAUGGUGGAGCAGACUCGAUGGGCUGAAUGGCCAACUUCUGCUCCUUUGUCUUAUGGUCUAACAUGUUGUAUUGGCACUGGAUGGCAACAUUUGCAAUAUACCCAGUAUGAUCCUCGCUGGUUUGAUGCAAACAAAACAUUCGUUGGAUGUUUCAAUGUACAUGUGACAAAUAAAGCCAACCCUCAUCUUUUCAAAAGAAAAUUCUGACACAGACAGUGAAGGAGAGUGCGAGUGUGAGGGAGACUGAGAGGGGGAAGUGGACAAAGAAUCUAUAAACAGAGUUUAGCGUUUAUAUAUCUUUUAAAAAAGAUAAUGACUUUUGAAAAACAGUAUUAACAUUUUGAAUUAAUGAACUUUCAGCAGCACGGGAAAAUUUUAGAAAUAAAAUAAGUUACAUUCCAGAGAACAAGUGAAGGUCAGAGUUUGGAAGGAGACCAAAAGAGAGUGAAUGAGACAAAGCAAAGGAAAGAGGGAGGUGAGAGCUGGUGAGUGACUGAAGGAGGGUCAAAGGAGCAGCAAAUCGAAGACAACAAAUUAAAUCUAAGUACUAGAAAGGAAAUGAGAGAAAAAGUGAACGCUGGAAAUGUGUUUCUGAGAACAAUUCAUCAGAACACAGACAUAUUUCAGAACUUUGGCCUGUAGAUCAGGGGGUCCAACACUUUUUUAUAAUGCCAUGGACCCCCACCAUUAAUUGAGGGGUCAGGCUGGGAACUCCUGCUGCAGGUUGUUAGUUUGAUAUAAAAUCAUGGAAACACUAAGGAGAGAAACAUCAACUGUUUAUUCCCAUCUAUAGGUGCUGCCCGACUUGCUGAACUCCUCCAGCACAUUGCGUGUACUGCUCUAGACUUCCAGCAUACGAAGAACCUCUUGUGUCUGCAGUAUUUUAUUUCUGAUUUGGAUUAUUAAUUGGCUUGUCCGUUUGCAUGCAAAUUUUGAAUGUUUUUCAAAAUUUAAAAUUAGCUCUGGCCGGCAGAGUCGCCACUCUCACAGAUCAGCAGUGAAUUUAUUGCGAGUGGCAGCUGGGAAUUUCCUUUGCUCCUCGCCAGUAACCUACCUAGAAAUCUUCGCCUGGGAUGCAGGCACUCACCACCAGGUGAGAUCUCACUGAUCUCAAAAGGAAGUUCAAAAGGAAACAAAAACUAAAGAAUGGCUAAGACUUGGCAUUAUUGAU
Hypanus sabinus (Atlantic stingray) is the source of this 9444-nucleotide long non-coding RNA. RefSeq lists it as uncharacterized. Lineage: Eukaryota; Metazoa; Chordata; Chondrichthyes; Myliobatiformes; Dasyatidae. The transcript is spliced from 3 exons. The record is from RefSeq and is a predicted model, not a curated record.